This 396-nucleotide ribosomal RNA is filed under the name uncultured bacterium. Its description in RNAcentral is "partial 16S ribosomal RNA". It matches the Rfam family "Bacterial small subunit ribosomal RNA", at positions 338 to 731 of the family's 1533-position model. The record is from RNAcentral.
CCUACGGGUGGCAGCAGUGAGGAAUAUUGGUCAAUGGCCGCGAGCCUGAACCAGCCAAGUCGCGUGAAGGAUGACUGCCCUACGGGUUGUAAACUUCUUUUGUAAAGGAAUAAAGUGAGUCACGUGUGCCUUUUUGUAUGUACUUUAUGAAUAAGGAUCGGCUAACUCCGUGCCAGCAGCCGCGGUAAUACGGAGGAUCCGAGCGUUAUCCGGAUUUAUUGGGUUUAAAGGGAGCGUAGAUGGGUUGUUAAGUCAGUUGUGAAAGUUCGUGGCUCAACCGGAAAAUUGCAAUUGAUACUGGAUGCCUUGAGUACGGUUGAGGUAGGCGGAAUGCGUGGGGUAGCGGUGAAAUGCUUAGAUAUCACGAAGAACUCCGAUUGCGAAGGCAGCCUACUA